UACGUAGGGGGCAAGCGUUGUCCGGAUUUAUUGGGCGUAAAGAGCGUGUAGGCGGCUUCACAGGUCCGCUGUGAAAACUCGAGGCUCAACCUCGAGAUGUCGGUGGAAACCGUGUGGCUAGAGUCCGGAAGAGGAGAGUGGAAUUCCCGGUGUAGCGGUGAAAUGCGCAGAUAUCGGGAAGAACACCCGUGGCGAAGGCGGCUCUCUGGGCCGUAACUGACGCUGAGGAGCGAAAGCGUGGGGAGCGAACAGG
This 253-nucleotide ribosomal RNA is filed under the name uncultured bacterium. Its description in RNAcentral is "partial 16S ribosomal RNA". It matches the Rfam family "Bacterial small subunit ribosomal RNA", at positions 524 to 776 of the family's 1533-position model. The record is from RNAcentral.